GACGAACGCUGGCGGCGUGCUUAACACAUGCAAGUCGAACGGAAAGGCCCUGCUUUUGUGGGGUUCUCGAGUGGCGAACGGGUGAGUAACACGUGAGUAACCUGCCCUUUACUUUGGGAUAACUUCAGGAAACUUGGGCUAAUACCGGAUAGGAGCUCCUGCUGCAUGGUGGGGGUUGGAAAGUUUCGGCGGUUGGGGAUGGACUCGCGGCUUAUCAGCUUGUUGGUGGGGUAGUGGCUUACCAAGGCUUUGACGGGUAGCCGGCCUGAGAGGGUGACCGGCAACAUUGGGAAUGAGAGACGGACCAGAAUGCUACGGGAGGCAGCAGGGGGGAAUAUUGCACAAUGGGCGGAAGCCUGAUGCAGAAACGCAGCGUGCGGGAUGACGGCAUUGGGGUUGUAAACCGCUUUCGCCUGUGACGAAGCGUGAGUGACGGUAAUGGGUAAAGAAGCACCGGCUAACUACGUG
RNAcentral lists this ribosomal RNA (468 nucleotides) under uncultured bacterium. Its description in RNAcentral is "partial 16S ribosomal RNA". It matches the Rfam family "Bacterial small subunit ribosomal RNA", at positions 28 to 507 of the family's 1533-position model. The record is from RNAcentral.